Molecule: long non-coding RNA, 1167 nt
Filed under: Bos indicus x Bos taurus (hybrid cattle)
Lineage: Eukaryota; Metazoa; Chordata; Mammalia; Artiodactyla; Bovidae
Description: lncRNA (ENSBIXG00000029048.1)
Source: RNAcentral
UCCCUGGCGCUCGCCUCCCUCCCACCCGGUGCGCGGCGCUCUGGGGCCGGGCGCGGAGGCCGCCGCGGCUCUCCCAGCCGAGCCCGCGCGCCCCUUCUCCCCCGGGCGGGGGUGGGGGCGAGGUGGGGGGGGAGGCGCGGCCCCAGACCCUGCCGGCUCCUUUUGCUGUCCUCCAGCUGUCCCCUCGGCCCCUGGCCGCUUCCCCAUCGGGCAGCGAAACGUACACAAAGAACACGGGAUUCGGGUUAUUUACGAAAUCGUGGUUUUUAAACUGCCGGCUGUGUGACCCGGAGCAAACUGCUCGGCCUCUCGGUGUCAGGGUCCUCGCCCGUAAAGAGACUGGGAAAGAUAAGGGCGAUAAGGCUUUUCGAACACGGGGCCCUGCGCCUGGCACGGCGCGGGCGCGCGGCUCCGUGCGCCCCCCAACCCGCCCGGCGUGCAGCCCGGCCCCGCUCCCGCCCCCCGCCUCGGCCCGACCUGCAGCCGAGAGUCGGGGAAGGCGGGGCGCCCCGGAGCCGCCGACGGCCUCGCGCUCCGAUUUCCUCACCGUACGAAAUGAAAUUCCACAGGGGGAUUCGAGAGGAAAUGAGACCGGGACGCUCCGUGCUUCUCGGCCCGCCGCCCUUCCUGUCUCGGGGACACGGUUUCUAAAUAAGGUAAGUCUAGCAUAUGGCAGAGGCUGGAUGCAAGUUGAAAGGACCUCAGUACCACUCAUGUGGUAAUCAUGUUAUGCCUUGUAUAUACUACCAACCGGUCCUGGGUAAGGGCAAGAAUGGAAUCAACUUUUUUUUUUUUUUUUUGCUAUUUGGCUCUGUGCCUAGAAUUGUGUUAGGCACAUAGAAGCUGCAUGGUCUCCAGCCAUCAUCAUAACCUACCAGGGAAGGAGACUCUGUUUGUUCCUCAAAGAAAUGAAGAAACUGAGGUCAGAACCAAAGUGAUUGUUAGAAAAUGAAGGGGAGAAAACAGAGGCUGAAGGGAGGCCUUUGAAAAAUGAAAAAAGUGGGAGUGGGGGGGAGCAGGGUUAUUUCCCCAGAAAAGUUCCCAGCUGGGAAUCUAUGUACUCAGCAGUAGGGUUGAAUCUUCUCUUUAUCUUUGCAGAGUAAUGCAUGAGACCAUUGGCCUACAGAGAUGAAUAAAUGAUGAGUGAAUCAAAUGUAUAGAUGGUUC